This 245-nucleotide ribosomal RNA is filed under the name uncultured bacterium. RNAcentral's name for it is "partial 16S ribosomal RNA". It matches the Rfam family "Bacterial small subunit ribosomal RNA", at positions 88 to 334 of the family's 1533-position model. The record is from RNAcentral.
AUGGCGACCGGCGCACGGGUGAGUAACACGUAUCCAACCUGCCGAUAACUCGGGGAUAGCCUUUCGAAAGAAAGAUUAAUACCCGAUGGCAUAAUUAGACUGCAUGGUCUUAUUAUUAAAGAAUUUCGGUUAUCGAUGGGGAUGCGUUCCAUUAGGCAGUUGGUGAGGUAACGGCUCACCAAACCUUCGAUGGAUAGGGGUUCUGAGAGGAAGGUCCCCCACAUUGGAACUGAGACACGGUCCAA